AAAUAACUUAAUGUCCUGGAAAUUUUUGACGAUUUUUUUUUUAAAUUUUUAUAAAUAAGUUUUAAGCAUUGAACAGCGGCAGAGCGUAAGACCAUAAAACGUUGCAAAAUAAAGAAUGUGAAUUGAGGAGACGCCUACGAAAAACGACAUCUCAGGAUGACAAUUACAUAGAGAUUUUAUCAAAACGCAAUCUUUUUAAGUAUUCGUAGCUUUCCAAAGAGAAUUGGGUGUACAAAUUUCUUCGAGAACUGUUGCACGUCGCCUUGUAGAAGAUAAUAUUUUCCGAAGGUUGUCCCAUAAAGAUCCAAUGUUGACAAAAACGAUAGCGGAACAAUCGGAUUGCUUUUGUUUCAGCGCAUAUCAAUUGGACCGCUGAAGAAAAUGUAGGUAGUGAUGGAGAAGUUUGUGUUCGAUAUCCGAAGAACGCUGAACUGAAUCUCUAAUACACGACACAAACUUUCAAACACGGGAUAUAGGGAUGUUUUGGAUUCGGGAAAUCAUGUACCGUUGUUACUACCUUUGAAUUGUAAUCCUAUAGAAAAGCUGUGGAAGAUUGUAAAGUUGGGACUCAUUAAACCACGAAACAUGGAGGAACUAUGGGAAAAAGUACAAAAGGCGUGGUAUUUAAUACCGAAUUCAAUGUGGAAUCUAUGCCGAAAAGGAGCAAAUAAAGGUUUUGCAACAAAAUUCAACUUAUAUGCAUUUUUAGUCAUAAUAGGCUUCUAUUUAUUGCCAAUUAAACUUCUUGAUUUCGCAUCUGCCCUCUUGUCAAAAAAAUUACAUAUAAAAGCAACAAUAAAGUUAUCGAAAAAUAAAGUGAUAUAACCUCUGUCUUCAAUGC
Non-coding RNA from Bactrocera oleae (olive fruit fly), 841 nucleotides. The record is from RefSeq and is a predicted model, not a curated record. NCBI's taxonomy places the organism in Eukaryota, Metazoa, Arthropoda, Insecta, Diptera, Tephritidae.